GACGAACGCUGGCGGCGUGCUUAAUACAUGCAAGUCGAGCGGUAAGGCCCUUUCGGGGGUACACGAGCGGCGAACGGGUGAGUAACACGUGGGUGACCUGCCCUCAGCUCUGGGAUAAGCCUGGGAAACCGGGUCUAAUACUGGAUAUGACUCCAUGACGCAUGUUGUGGGGUGGAAAGCCUUGUGCGGCUGAGGAUGGGCCCGCGGCCUAUCAGCUUGUUGGUGGGGUGAUGGCCUACCAAGGCGACGACGGGUAGCCGGCCUGAGAGGGCGACCGGCCACACUGGGACUGAGACACGGCCCAGACUCCUACGGGAGGCAGCAGUGGGGAAUCUUGCGCAAUGGGCGAAAGCCUGACGCAGCGACGCCGCGUGAGGGAUGACGGCCUGG
Molecule: ribosomal RNA, 390 nt
Filed under: uncultured bacterium
Lineage: Bacteria
Description: bacterial SSU rRNA
Rfam family: Bacterial small subunit ribosomal RNA
Source: RNAcentral